RNAcentral lists this ribosomal RNA (1421 nucleotides) under metagenome. RNAcentral describes it as "bacterial SSU rRNA". It matches the Rfam family "Bacterial small subunit ribosomal RNA". The record is from RNAcentral.
AGAGUUUGAUCCUGGCUCAGGAUGAACGCUGGCGGCGUGCUUAACACAUGCAAGUCGAACGAUCCUUCGGGAUAGUGGCGGACGGGUGAGUAACGCGUGGGAAUCUGCCCUUAGGAGGGGGAUAACGGCUGGAAACGGCCGCUAAUACCCCAUAUGCCGAGAGGUGAAAUGAAUUUCGCCUGAGGAUGAGCCCGCGUCUGAUUAGCUAGUUGGUGGGGUAAAGGCCUACCAAGGCAACGAUCAGUAGCUGGUCUGAGAGGAUGAUCAGCCACACUGGGACUGAGACACGGCCCAGACUCCUACGGGAGGCAGCAGUGGGGAAUUUUCCGCAAUGGGCGAAAGCCUGACGGAGCAACGCCGCGUGAGGGAUGAAGGCCUCUGGGCUGUAAACCUCUUUUCUCAAGGAAGAAGAACUGACGGUACUUGAGGAAUAAGCCACGGCUAAUUCCGUGCCAGCAGCCGCGGUAAUACGGGAGUGCAAGCGUUAUCCGGAAUUAUUGGGCGUAAAGCGUCCGCAGGCGGCCUUGUAAGUCUGUUGUUAAAGCGUGGAGCUCAACUCCAUUUAAGCAAUGGAAACUACAAGGCUGGAGUGUGGUAGGGGCAGAGGGAAUUCCCGGUGUAGCGGUGAAAUGCGUAGAUAUCGGGAAGAACACCAGUGGCGAAGGCGCUCUGCUGGGCCAUAACUGACGCUCAUGGACGAAAGCCAGGGGAGCGAAAGGGAUUAGAUACCCCUGUAGUCCUGGCCGUAAACGAUGAACACUAGGUGUCGGGGGAAUCGACCCCCUCGGUGUCGUAGCCAACGCGUUAAGUGUUCCGCCUGGGGAGUACGCACGCAAGUGUGAAACUCAAAGGAAUUGACGGGGGCCCGCACAAGCGGUGGAGUAUGUGGUUUAAUUCGAUGCAACGCGAAGAACCUCACCAGGGUUUGACAUCCUGCGAAUCCCUUGGAAACGAGGGAGUGCCUUCGGGAGCGCAGUGACAGGUGGUGCAUGGCUGUCGUCAGCUCGUGUCGUGAGAUGUUGGGUUAAGUCCCGCAACGAGCGCAACCCACGUCUUUAGUUGCCAGCAUUGAGUUGGGCACUCUAGAGAGACCGCCGGUGAUAAACCGGAGGAAGGCGUGGAUGACGUCAAGUCAUCAUGCCCCUUACAUCCUGGGCUACACACGUACUACAAUGCUACGGACAAAGGGCAGCAAGCUCGCGAGAGUUAGCAAAUCCCAUAAACCGUGGCUCAGUUCAGAUCGUAGGCUGCAACUCGCCUACGUGAAGGAGGAAUCGCUAGUAAUCGCAGGUCAGCAUACUGCGGUGAAUACGUUCCCGGGCCUUGUACACACCGCCCGUCACACCAUGGAAGUUGGCCAUGCCCGAAGUCGUUACUCCAACCCUUGUGGAGGAGGACGCCGAAGGUGGGGCUGAUGACUG